This 566-nucleotide ribosomal RNA is filed under the name uncultured bacterium. Its description in RNAcentral is "bacterial SSU rRNA". It matches the Rfam family "Bacterial small subunit ribosomal RNA", at positions 66 to 627 of the family's 1533-position model. The record is from RNAcentral.
ACGGCAGCACGGAGCUUGCUCUGGUGGCGAGUGGCGAACGGGUGAGUAAUAUAUCGGAACGUACCCUGGAGUGGGGGAUAACGUAGCGAAAGUUACGCUAAUACCGCAUACGAUCUAAGGAUGAAAGUGGGGGAUCGCAAGACCUCAUGCUCGUGGAGCGGCCGAUAUCUGAUUAGCUAGUUGGUAGGGUAAAAGCCUACCAAGGCAUCGAUCAGUAGCUGGUCUGAGAGGACGACCAGCCACACUGGAACUGAGACACGGUCCAGACUCCUACGGGAGGCAGCAGUGGGGAAUUUUGGACAAUGGGCGCAAGCCUGAUCCAGCAAUGCCGCGUGAGUGAAGAAGGCCUUCGGGUUGUAAAGCUCUUUUGUCAGGGAAGAAACGGUGGAGGCUAAUAUCCUCUGCUAAUGACGGUACCUGAAGAAUAAGCACCGGCUAACUACGUGCCAGCAGCCGCGGUAAUACGUAGGGUGCAAGCGUUAAUCGGAAUUACUGGGCGUAAAGCGUGCGCAGGCGGUUUUGUAAGUCUGAUGUGAAAUCCCCGGGCUCAACCUGGGAAUUGCAUU